AACGGGGGGAGGGGCAGAGAGAGAAGGAGACAAAGAAUCGGAAGCAGGCUCCAGGCUCUGAGCUGUCAGCACAGAGCCCUACGCGGGGCUCGAACUCACGGACCUCGAGAUCAUGACCUGAGCUGGAGUCGGACGCUUAACCGACUGAGCCACCCAGGCGCCCCCCCAAAUCUAUAUUUUAAAAGGCCCACCAGUUGCUGUGUGGAAAUGGACUGUAUGGGGGGAAGAGCUUGAAGCAGGGGAGACUGGAGGCCUCCAGGAGAGAGAUGAGAUGCCCAGACUCAGCAACAGGACAAGCAAUCAAUCAUACGUAUCUGCUUUCCUGGACAAACAUUGUCUUCCAGUCCUGGUGAGGAGAAUCCUGAUGAUUUAACAGCUGGCUGGAGUCCUGUGUCGUCCAGCAUCUCUGCCAGUUUCUGCAGAAAGCCCUGAAGUGUGCCAAGGUUCCCGUGUCUGUGGAUACAACUCUAGUGGUGCCCACUCCCUUUGCUCCUUGCAGCCGCGAGAAGAACCGUGCAGGGGGAAGAGUCCAGGGAAUACGGAGCUUCAAACCAGAGCCCUUUGGGUACCUGUGGCCUUUGGAGUUGAGGACUGAGCACCUUCCAGAACUCUCUCAGAGGGAAGCAGUGCCUAGAGCUGAUUUCCAUCGUAGCAGGUAUGGAGAGGAAAUGGGCCUUUGGGUGGGCCAGCUUCCUCUUCAAGCUGAGGAAGGAAAAUGGAGAGUGGAAUGCCAGCAACCCAGGAAAGCCAAGGAAAUGACCCAAUUCUCUUGAGUUUGUGAAGUGUCCUGUGAGAAUUCUAGAAUUUCCAUGAAAAAAAUUCCUUGGGGUGCCUGGAUGGCUCAGUCAGUUGAGCAUCUGGCUCAGGUCAUGAUCUCUUGGUUCAUCAGUUUGAGCCUCCGCAUCCAGCCCUGCUUGGGAUUGUCUCUCCUUCUCACUACCCCUCCCUGCUUGUGCGCUCUCUCUCUCUCUCUCUCUCUCUCAAAAUAAAUUAACUUCAAAAAAAAUCCUGCACUUUCACCAACACUUUAGCGAGUGCCUGCUUUGCAUCUGUUACUAUGUUCUAGCAAGUGAGAUUGUCAUAAAACAGCCAGGGUUCCUGUCCUCACACUCUUACAUUCCAGUGGAGGAGACAGAUUUCAAACACAUCAUUGCAGAUGGCAGUGGGUUCUGAAGACAUGGUGGAGGUAACCGAGGAGUUAGCAACUGGGUUGAACCCCGGGAGGAGGAGGAACCAGGCAUGGAGCAAUCUACAGAAAAAGCCUUCUAGGCAGAAGUGAUAGCAAGGGCAAAGGCACUGAGGAAAGAGCAAGUUGUGAAAAUCUAAACAAGUCACUAAUUGUCACAGACUUUGAGGUGUGUAAUAUUAAAUGGAGAAAUGAAGGCAGCUUCUGAGACAAUAUCCAUGGUGGGCAUGAAAGGGUCCAAGGUACAGCCCCCAAAAGGCUAGUCUUUUCUUUAAUUGUUUAACUUUAUUACUGUUGCACCAUUUAUACAAUUACAUAUAACUUCAAUGCAUCCAUUGUAUUUUUUUUUUUUUUUUUU
Molecule: long non-coding RNA, 1544 nt
Organism: Panthera uncia (snow leopard)
Lineage: Eukaryota; Metazoa; Chordata; Mammalia; Carnivora; Felidae
Exons: 3
Source: RefSeq, a predicted model, not a curated record